UUCAUGCGCUUGGAGCGU
RNAcentral lists this microRNA (18 nucleotides) under Echinococcus granulosus. Its description in RNAcentral is "egr-miR-10257-3p". The record is from miRBase by way of RNAcentral. Lineage: Eukaryota; Metazoa; Platyhelminthes; Cestoda; Cyclophyllidea; Taeniidae.